AACCUAGCACACCUGCGGUGUGUACCUGCGGAAGGAUCACUACCGAGUUAGGGUAGUUACUCGCUGCCCGACCUCCCAACCCUGUGUCUACCACACUUUGUCGUUGCUUCGGCGGACCGGUCGACCAACUGGUCGUGACCGCCGGGGGCUGGCUCUGUCACCCCUGGAGAGCGUCCGCCGAUGGCCCAACCACAAACUCUUGUACCGAAACGUGUCGUCUGAAUAAUUGAGAAAUCAAAU
This 240-nucleotide unclassified non-coding RNA is filed under the name soil metagenome. Its description in RNAcentral is "partial contains 5.8S ribosomal RNA, internal transcribed spacer 2, and large subunit ribosomal RNA". The record is from RNAcentral.